UAAUACGGAGGGUGCAAGCGUUAUCCGGAUUCACUGGGUUUAAAGGGUGUGUAGGCGGGCUUGUAAGUCAGGGGUGAAAUCCUACAGCUUAACUGUAGAACUGCCUUUGAUACUAUGAGUCUUGAAUAUUGUUGAGGUAGGCGGAAUACAUCAUGUAGCGGUGAAAUGCUUAGAUAUGAUGUAGAACACCGAUUGCGAAGGCAGCUUACUAAGCAAAUAUUGACGCUGAGGCACGAAAGCGUGGGGAUCAAACAGGAUUAGAUACCCUGGUAGUCCACGCCCUAAACGAUGAUUACUCGACGUGCGCGAUACACUGUGCGCGUCUGAGCGAAAGCAUUAAGUAAUCCACCUGGGAAGUACGUCCGCAAGGAUG
This 373-nucleotide ribosomal RNA is filed under the name uncultured bacterium. Its description in RNAcentral is "bacterial SSU rRNA". It matches the Rfam family "Bacterial small subunit ribosomal RNA", at positions 521 to 896 of the family's 1533-position model. The record is from RNAcentral.